GGGUCGUUAACUCAGUUGGUAGAGCAGUUGACUUUUAAUCAAUUGGUCGCAGGUUCGAAUCCUGCACGACCCACCA
This 76-nucleotide transfer RNA is filed under the name Escherichia coli. RNAcentral describes it as "tRNA-Lys". It matches the Rfam family "tRNA". From Rfam's summary of the family: Transfer RNA (tRNA) molecules are approximately 80 nucleotides in length. The record is from RNAcentral. RNAcentral also lists the same sequence under 3 other names. Lineage: Bacteria; Pseudomonadati; Pseudomonadota; Gammaproteobacteria; Enterobacterales; Enterobacteriaceae.